UCGUACAACCGAGGUGCGGAGGGCUGUCGCUGACUUUUGUCGUGCACGCCCGAAGUGCUCUCACACAAUAUCCAUCUCACCCAUUUGUGCAUCAUCGCGUGGGUCCUGCUUUUUGGGCUUGUUCCAAGGAGGGGGGCUCGCGUUUUCACACAAAACACCCUUUUAAUGCAGUGUAGAAUGUUCUUGCGAUGACUCGCAAUAAAUA
This 205-nucleotide unclassified non-coding RNA is filed under the name uncultured Russula. RNAcentral describes it as "sequence contains ITS1". Lineage: Eukaryota; Fungi; Basidiomycota; Agaricomycetes; Russulales; Russulaceae. The record is from RNAcentral.